UACGAAGGGUGCUAGCGUUGUUCGGAAUCACUGGGCGUAAAGCGCGCGUAGGCGGCUUUACAAGUCAGGGGUGAAAUCCCAGAGCUUAACUCUGGAAUCGCCUUUGAAACUGUAAAGCUGGAGUGUUGGAGGGGAUGGCGGAAUUCCUAAUGUAGAGGUGAAAUUCGUAGAUAUUAGGAGGAACACCGGUGGCGAAGGCGGCCAUCUGGACAACAACUGACGCUGAGGCGCGAAAGCGUGGGGAUCAAACAGG
RNAcentral lists this ribosomal RNA (253 nucleotides) under uncultured bacterium. RNAcentral's name for it is "partial 16S ribosomal RNA". It matches the Rfam family "Bacterial small subunit ribosomal RNA", at positions 524 to 776 of the family's 1533-position model. The record is from RNAcentral.